This 119-nucleotide ribosomal RNA is filed under the name Pteropus alecto (black flying fox). The record is from RNAcentral. Lineage: Eukaryota; Metazoa; Chordata; Mammalia; Chiroptera; Pteropodidae.
GUCUACAGCCGUGCCACCCUGAACAAGCCCGAUCCCAUCUGAUCUUGGAAGCUAAGCAGGGUCAGGCCUGGUUAGUACUUGGAUGGGAGACUACUUAAGAAGACCAGGUGCUGUAGAUA